AUUGCCCUUACUAUGUGCGGAUUAAUUUGUGUAUGUGUAUCAGGCAUGCAUUCACACUUUUGCUGAAUUUAAAAUCAAACAAUCACCACAAAAGGGAAUUUAAAUAAGAAAGGUUUAGAGGUUACCAAAGGAAAUUUCUCCAGCAAUUUUGAAAAAAAAAAUUUAGGCAAACCUCGACAGCAUUCCUUUUCCAGCAGUUCCCUUUUUGAUCGUUCCAGAUUUUCUUUUCGAUUUCUGAUCAAGAAAAAUCAAAAAUUAGUAAGAGAG
Molecule: long non-coding RNA, 267 nt
Filed under: Phoenix dactylifera (date palm)
Lineage: Eukaryota; Viridiplantae; Streptophyta; Magnoliopsida; Arecales; Arecaceae
Description: long non-coding RNA (PDAC_LNC016092)
Source: RNAcentral